GGGAAGUAUAGUUACAGUUCAAAUGAUGAAUUAAAACUGUUCAGCUGCUGAAUGAUACAGACAUGAACUAAAACUUAAUUCUGAUAGAACUGACUACAGCUAUUAACUCUGGACAGUGAACUUAGUUUUCAUAACUGGAAAUCCAAUCUUAAAAUCUUAUGUACUAUUCUAGGAAUGAGUAAGCAGAACUCUUCAAACACACUGGUAAGUGAAACUGAAUCCUGUUGGUUUUUAUUGUGUUCUGAGCAAAAACAAUUGCUGUAUGUAUAGACUAGAAAAAACGUUUCUUUGUGCUUUCAUGUCAUGCUAAGUGUCUAGAAAUGAUGUUUGAGUUCUUCAAUGAUACACUCCUGUAUCCCACUCCUGUAAUCCUAGGAGCUGGGAGCAAGGAUCAAGUUGGGGAACAGGGAAACUUGCUGAGUAGGUAACUCACUAGAUAAAGAACCAUCUGUCCCAGAGUACCACAGUUCAGAACCAUUGCAGCUCAGGCAGUCUUGAUAGCCAAACCUAGGAUCUCUGGCUUCAGUGAGAAACACUCAACCAGCAGUGUGUGUUGCAGUUUACAUAAUGCAGAUACAUUAGGCCAGUUAAUGGUUUGAUUUGGGCAAUUUUCCAGUGGGAGUGGAAUGAAGGCUGAGAUGGAAUGCUGCAUAAACUGAACAGCUGACAGCCCAUCCAGCCUCCUUAACAUGUGGAAUGUUUGUAAGAUUUAGAGGAGAUAAUGAUUAGGACCGUAUCAUUAGUUUCUUCAUUAGGAACACCAGGCUGAGGGUUUAGGAAUUGGCACUGCAUGGUAUCUGCACUCAGCAGUCCUUUCCUGCUGGUGUGUUCAAAAGACAGUGCGAUAGAAAUUCACUAUCUGGCAUCGUUGGUUUCUUGGCUUUGUGCAAGAUAACCUGGUAUUUCUAAUGAUACAGUUAUUUUAUACUGAUAUGCGUGCGCUGUGGAGGUCAGAGCAAGUUUGAUUGCAAUGUGGGUUCUAGGGAGUAAUUGGUCUAAGCUUGGUGGCUAGCAUUAUCACCUGCUUGAUGAAACUACUCUUUUUAUUCGUAGGGUGUCAACAAGUGAGAGACCUGGCUUAAAAUGGUUCCUAAAGUAAAUUGGUUUGAAGAAGGCACCAGAAUUGUUACGGUGAAAACCUUUGGAUUAGUCAUGGCUGUUCUGGCUUUUUAAUUCAAGGAGAGACGACAACAAA
Long non-coding RNA from Chionomys nivalis (European snow vole), 1195 nucleotides. RefSeq lists it as uncharacterized. NCBI's taxonomy places the organism in Eukaryota, Metazoa, Chordata, Mammalia, Rodentia, Cricetidae. The transcript is spliced from 3 exons. The record is from RefSeq and is a predicted model, not a curated record.